RNAcentral lists this ribosomal RNA (479 nucleotides) under uncultured Syntrophus sp. Its description in RNAcentral is "bacterial SSU rRNA". It matches the Rfam family "Bacterial small subunit ribosomal RNA", at positions 902 to 1382 of the family's 1533-position model. Lineage: Bacteria; Pseudomonadati; Thermodesulfobacteriota; Syntrophia; Syntrophales; Syntrophaceae. The record is from RNAcentral.
CAAAGGAAUUGACGGGGCCGCACAAGCGGUGGAGCAUGUGGUUUAAUUCGAUGCAACGCGAAGAACCUUACCUGGGCUUGACAUCCCUGGAAUCCCCUGGAAACAGGGGAGUGCCCUUCGGGGAGCCAGGAGACAGGUGCUGCAUGGCUGUCGUCAGCUCGUGUCGUGAGAUGUUGGGUUAAGUCCCGCAACGAGCGCAACCCUUGUCUUUAAUUGCCAUCAUUCAGUUGGGCACUUUAAAGAGACUGCCGGUGUUAAACCGGAGGAAGGUGGGGAUGACGUCAAGUCCUCAUGGCCUUUAUGCCCAGGGCUACACACGUGCUACAAUGGCCAACACAAUAGGUUGCUAAGCCGCGAGGUGGCGCCAAUCCAUAAAGUUGGUCUCAGUUCAGAUUGUAGGCUGCAACCCGCCUGCAUGAAGAUGGAGUUGCUAGUAACCGCAGGUCAGCUAUACUGCGGUGAAUACGUUCCCGGGGCUU